Molecule: ribosomal RNA, 380 nt
Filed under: uncultured bacterium
Lineage: Bacteria
Description: bacterial SSU rRNA
Rfam family: Bacterial small subunit ribosomal RNA
Source: RNAcentral
GAUAAACGCUGGCGGCGUGCCUAAUGCAUGCAAGUCGAACGGUCUAGCAUCUUCGGAAGCUAGGUAGUGGCAAACGGGUGAGUAACACGUGGGGAUCUGCCCAGUAGUGGGGAACAACUCCUCGAAAGAGGAGCUAAUACCGCAUACGGUCGAAGGACUAAAGCCAUCGCAAGAUGGCGCUAUUGGAGGAACCUGCGGCUGAUUAGCUAGUUGGUGGGGUAAAGCCACCAAGGCGAUGAUCAGUAGCUGGUCUGAGAGGAUGGACAGCCACACUGGGACUGAGAUACGGCCCAGACUCCUACGGGAGGCAGCAGCAAGGAAUUUUCGUCAAUGGGGGAAACCCUGAACGAGCAACGCCGCGUGGGCGAAGAAGUCCUCGG